CGCGGCCUAUCAGCUUGUUGGUGGGGUAACGGCCCACCAAGGCGACGACGGGUAGCCGGCCUGAGAGGGCGACCGGCCACACUGGGACUGAGACACGGCCCAGACUCCUACGGGAGGCAGCAGUGGGGAAUAUUGCGCAAUGGGCGAAAGCCUGACGCAGCGACGCAGCGUGAGGGACGAAGGCCUUCGGGUUGUAAACCUCUUUCAGCGGGGACGAAGCGAAAGUGACGGUACACGCAGAAGAAGCACCGGCUAACUACGUGCCAGCAGCCGCGGUAAUACGUAGGGUGCAAGCAUCGUCCGGAUUUAUUGGGCGUAAAGAGCUCGUAGGCGGCUUGUCACGUCGGGUGUGAAAACUCGGGGCUCAACCCCGAGCCUGCACUCGAUACGGGCUAGCUAGAGUGUUGCAGGGGAGACUGGAAUUCCUGGUGUAGCGGUGAAAUGCGCAGAUAUCAGGAGGAACACCGACGGCGAAGGCGGGUCUCUGGGCAACUACUGACGCUGAGGAGCGAAAGCGUGGGGAGCGAACAGGAUUAGAUACCCUGGUAGUCCACGCCGUAAACGGUGGGCGCUAGGUGUGGGGAACCUUCCACGUUCUCUGUGCCGCAGCUAACGCAUUAAGCGCCCCGCCUGGGGAGUACGG
This 643-nucleotide ribosomal RNA is filed under the name uncultured Actinomycetes bacterium. Its description in RNAcentral is "bacterial SSU rRNA". It matches the Rfam family "Bacterial small subunit ribosomal RNA", at positions 232 to 885 of the family's 1533-position model. The record is from RNAcentral. Lineage: Bacteria; Bacillati; Actinomycetota; Actinomycetes.